UACGAAGGGGGCUAGCGUUGUUCGGAAUCACUGGGCGUAAAGGGCGCGUAGGCGGUUCGUACAGUCAGACGUGAAAUUCCUGGGCUCAACCUGGGGGCUGCGUUUGAUACGUGCGGACUUGAGUGCGGAAGAGGGUCGUGGAAUUCCCAGUGUAGAGGUGAAAUUCGUAGAUAUUGGGAAGAACACCGGUGGCGAAGGCGGCGACCUGGUCCGAUACUGACGCUGAGGCGCGAAAGCGUGGGGAGCAAACAGG
This 253-nucleotide ribosomal RNA is filed under the name uncultured bacterium. Its description in RNAcentral is "partial 16S ribosomal RNA". It matches the Rfam family "Bacterial small subunit ribosomal RNA", at positions 524 to 776 of the family's 1533-position model. The record is from RNAcentral.